This 11353-nucleotide long non-coding RNA is filed under the name Capsicum annuum. RNAcentral describes it as "long non-coding RNA (CANN_LNC000916)". Lineage: Eukaryota; Viridiplantae; Streptophyta; Magnoliopsida; Solanales; Solanaceae. The record is from RNAcentral.
AUGCAGAAACUAACAAGAUCAGCUAAAUACCAAGUAAAUCAGUUAGAACAGGGAUCAAUAUAUGAGUGAAUCGACUCCGAUCUUUACCUAAAUGAUUAAACGAUUAUGAGCUAAUAAUCCACCAAACUCAUCAUGUCACAAUGCCAGCUAACACCAAUCACGUAAUAAACUUCUUCAAGUAAAUAUUUUCAAGUAGAGAUCAUAUUCACAGAAUAACAGACCAUGAACACGGUAUUCGACCUAAUACAUACUAGUAUCAUUAUAAUGGAUUCAACAAAAUUCAAUUUAGCAAUCUAGAACACAAUAAUUAAAUUAUUCAGUGCUCGGUUAGAAAAUAGCGUCAGCCAAGCAUGAAAUUGAAAUAUUUGAAACAAAGAAAAUCAUAUCUAAGCCACCCACGCAUUUAACAUCCACAAACAAAAUAAAGUAAAUCCAAGAACAAUCUUACCGGAGACAAAUUCAUCAUGCAAAAAGUGUUGGAAUUGAAUCCUUGACACUCUCGCUGGUUCGGUCAGAGCAGGCGACGGCGCUGGUGAGGUUGUCGAUGGUGGCUAUGAUGGAGAGGACGAACGGAGGAAGAUGGCGGCAAUUCAAGUGGCGACUGGCUUUACUGUUUAGCCGGUGGAGCCGACUGGUCUGCUGGCGGUUGAUUCACCGCAGCUGGCAGCAACUGGUUCCAUUGGAGUUUUGGUGGUGGGCGUUGGUUUGGCUGAGAAUGAUGGUUCGCCGGUCGGUAGUGGUUUCUUGAAUGAUGCUUCACCGAUCAUUACAUUUGGUAAAGCGACAACGACAAAAGGCAACACCAAUUUCACGGUUGGACUGACCAUUUUGGUAGAGCGGCAGCAUCGAUGGAGAGAAGAAAGUGGGACGACAGUGGCUGAUUUAUCAAAGGCGAAAGAGGGAAACCGACGAAUGAAGGGAUGAUUCGCCGUAAUGGACGCCAGAGAAUAUGGUGGUGGUGGCGGUUCGAGUGUUUUUUUUUAGAGAGAAUAUGGAGAGAGAGAGACAGGAAGUUAGGCGGGUUAUUUUUUAUGAGAAUGAAUUAGGAUUAGGUGUUUUGAACUAAGAAGGAAAAAGGAGAAGGGUUUGAUCUCAGCCGUUGGAUCAAUUAGGAUUAACGGUUGAGAUUAAAACCCUUUAAAAAGAGGUCAUGCAAAAAUUAAUUUGAAAUUAAAAUGUCAUUAAUUAGGCUAAAAUUGGUAUUAAUUGAAUACCAAUUGGCUAGAAUUGUAAUAAAUUGAGUAAAAUUGGAUAGAAAAUGGCAAAAAGAUAAAUGAAUUAUGCAAGGUGAUUUCAAAUUAGGUUGUUAUUUAAAUAAUAGUAGGGAUAAUAAUAAUAAUAAAAAAUAAAAAAUAAUGACAAUAUAUAUUAAUAAUAGAUAAUAAUAAUAAUAAUAAUAAUAAUAAUAAUAAUGCAACACUAGACAAUGUAUUUGCAAAAUGUGAGUGCACAAUUACGUGAAAAAAUAAUUUAAUAAAUAUUAAUAAAAUUGCAUAAAAUGUCAUAUUUGAAUUUAAAAAAUAUAAAAAAUGAUACUAAAGGAUAACAAAAUAAUUUAUGCAUUUUUUUAAAUUAUGAAUGUGACAUGUCAGUAUGUAUUUAAUGUAAGAAUAAUGUGUAAAAAUAUUAAAAGUAAUAUCGGGGGGUCAAAAUUGGGUGUCAACAGCUGCUCCUUCGUUGCUUGAGAAUAAUAAAAGAAUUGUCAAGCAACAAAAGUUGACGUAUUAGCCAAUUUUGUCCGACGGAUGAAGACGCAUUUGUGUUAAAGUGACAGGAGGUGGUUUUAAAAAUAGUGUGGCCGAGACUUCAGUUUUCAGUCGUCUACAUAUCUCUGGUCUUACGAGAAUCAGGUCGUUUGUAGUCCUAGAUUUAGGAAUGAACAAUAUUCCUAAAGAAUGUCAUUGAUAAAGAAUGGGGCAUCAAAAAUGAUAUUGAGGGUCGACAAGAUAGGGUGAAUAUGAUAAAAUGACGUGAGAGAGGGUGUGAAAAUGAAAGGUGUGUGAGUUAUGAGUUCAAGCUUAUGCGGUGGAUGGGUAAGUAGGUGAUACUUCGAAAACAGGAACAAAAAUUAUCUCUAUUUGUUAGUCUUUCUCUAUUACUUGCGUCUUUACGUGAUACUAAAUAACAAAGGUUAGACAUGUAAUAAAUAAACAAUUAGUAAACAUAAAGUGAAUGUGGAAACAGAGAAAGCAUAUCUAUUGUAUCGUGGAAUCGCGGGAUCAGCUUUUUGGCUUCACAUCGUGGGAUCAGCUUUUGGGCAUCUCGAUGCAUUGUGAAAUCGUGUGAUCAAUUGUUUGGAUUCUCAUCGUGGGAUCAGCUACUGCGCUUCUCGAUGCACUGUGGAAUCGUGUGAUUAGUUGUUUGGCUUCUCAUCGUGGGAUCAGUUUUUGAGCUUCUCGAUGCAUUGUGAUAUCGUGUGAUCAGCUGUUUGGCUUCUCGUUGUAGGAUCAUUUUUUGGGCUUCUCGAUGCAUUGUGAAAUCGUGUGAUUAGUUGUUUGGCUACUUAUCGUGCAAUCAGAUUUUGGGCUUCUCGAUGCAUUGUGAAAUUGUGUGAUCAGCUGUUUGACUAUUCAUUGUGGGAUCGGCUGUUUGGCUUUUCGUGAUGGAGUAAUUUGUACCUGUUGGUCCUGCCACUUUUAACUCAACUAGAUAAAAAUGGUUAGCACAGAUAUAUGUAUAUGUAAAGAAGAUUGAACAAUGUAGUGAAAACAACCAUUACAAUAAUGAUAAGAAGAGACAAGAAAGCGUAUCUAUUGUACUGUCGGAUUAACCAUUGGGUCUUCUCAUCAUGAUGUUGGACUGGCCGUUAGGCCUCUCGUGAUAGAGUGAUUGUUGUCAUAUAUACCUGUUAAUCUUGUACUCAAAGAAAAGUCGUCAGUCAAAAAGAAAUGUGGAUUUGUACCAUGCUCGAUUCCUCGGUCGUCAUUUUCUACUCCAUGAACCAUUGAAAUUUAUACUCCGUUGUGAUGAAAUUUUUGAAGAAUUCUCAAAAAUUUCUGCCCCAGUUUAAAAUGUAAAGCGCCUUUCGCACGCCAUUGUAAAUAUAUUAUUUACUCGUGAAAUUUUUGAGGAAUUCUCAAAAAUUUCUGCCCCAGUUUAGAAUGAAAGACGCCUUUUGCACGUCAUUGUGAAUUGAUAUAUUUUUUAAUUGUGAAAUUUUUGAGGUUUUCUUGAAACCUCAAAAUUUUUGCCCCAGUUUUUGUCUUUGGAAUCUUAUAUUCCUGCACCACUCAAAGAAAAUAUUAGUCUAAGAGAAAUGGUUGUCCUACAUUUGAAUAUCGUAACCUCAAUUGUAAUAUACCUUUAUAUGCUCAAGAGUUGGAUUAAUUAGCUUGAUGAUUUGGAAGUGUAGGAAUGUGAAAGAGAGUGGGGAAAAGUAUUUUAUUAGAUAAAGAUUAGACCCAGAGUGGGCUGCCUACGUAUCCAAAUGGAUGUCAGGUCGAACGUAGUUCAUAAGUACAAAGAAAUAUAGAGAAAACAAGAACAUGUUGCUAGCCGUAAGGCGGGUAAAAUAGUGACGUGAAACAGGAACGUUAAUUCAUGUGAUGUGUUUUAUGUUUCUUUCAUGAAUGUCCAGGAUCUUGUUGGACAGAGUAAGAGUGGAUUUGAUAAGCCUUAUUUUUCGGAUAGAGUAGGAUCAGAUCUGAUGAGCCCUGUUUCGGGGACCAAAAUCAGCGUGGAUUGCAUUAUAUCGAUAACCUUGUGUUUGAGGUAUGGAAGGUGACGAAUCCUCUUCCUCUUCCAUAGGUGGGUUUCUUCAUUUUAUGUUCUAAUUUCUUUCCAAUCAAAAUUAGACUCUCAAAGUUGUGAUUGACAAGGAAGAACAUUUUCUGAAAGUAUAUUCCAUCUAGUGUCUUGAGGAAAAUUUGGAUCACUUCCUCCUCAAAUACAGAAGGACGUAUUUUGGAAGCCUCUAACCUCCAUCGAGUUGCAUAUUCCUCAAAAGAUUCAUAGGCCACUCUCUUCAUCUCGAGCAAUUCUCGGAUUGUCGGACCAGUAUUGAUGUUAAACUUGUAUUGCCUCAUAAAGUCUUGAGCCAAUUCUUCCCAAUUAUGCCAUUUGUCGAAGUUUUGUUGGUCGAACCAUGUGAGUGUCAUUCCUGACAAACUCUGAAUAAACAAUCUCAUAAGGAGAGGCUCAUUGUGCCUUAUGCCAAUUAGUCUGCCACAAUAGUCCUUCAGAUGUGUGAUUUGAUCUCCAUGCCUAUCGAAUGUGUUGAAUUUGGGGAUUUUGUAUCCUAGAGGUAAAUCAAUCCACAGAAGUAUACAUAGUUUCUCAUACCUCAAGUUGUAGAUACCCCUAGAACGUAGUUCCUCAUUCAUCCUUCUUUCUAAGUAACAAAGCCUUCACCAACGUUCAUCUGAUUUGAUCCUUUUACUUUCAGAAGUGUCAUGUGCAAAAGAGAAUUGUCGAGAAGGGGUGUGGGUAAGGCGAGGAUAAGGAGACAUAGUGUUUUGCCUUGGGUGAUGAAAAGGAGGACUGACAGCUUUUCGAAUACUAAGCAUAUUUGUCAUGUUGCAGAUUGUUACUUGAGUUCGAUAUUCAAAUGCUAGACAACCUUAAAAUUAGAUAUGUAAGGCACACAAAAUUACCUCAUAACACAUAAGUUCGAAAUAUAAUAAAUAAAAAACAAAAGGUAUUCAAGGAUGAAGACUAAGAUUUAAUAAGUGAUAUAAGCGUAAAGAUUUAAGCUCCUGACGCACGAAACAGGACAGUGACAGGAUAUGAUAUCGAUUUUGCAAUUGUAAUUAUAAAGAAGGUAAGAGAGAUAGGAAAUGAAUUAGGUCGACUUUUGUUGAACAUCAGAUUUGUUGAUUACAUCAUAUUGUUGAUUCAUCCAACUCCAUAUAGAAAAAUGAUAAAGCAAGGGAAAAGAAAAUUUUAUUAUGGUGAGAUCGAACCCAUUAAAUGAGUGUCAACGUAUCCACAAGAGAAUCAGGUCGAUCCUAGUUCAAAUUACAUAAGUAAGGAAGACAUAAAAAAAAGGAAAUUGCAGAAUGUAAAAGUUGAAGAAAUUUUAAAUGUUGAGAGUCUGGAGUGAAGAAUCAACAUGAUAUCCUCUAUACCAAUGUAGAACCCUCGCAAGUUGAGCCUAGUAAAUCAAUCGCCAUCACGAUUCAACUUUGUCGUCUAUCAGUGCUUGAAUUUUGUCUUUCAAAGUUCAACACUCUUCUGUGGUAUGUCCUUUCAUCCCUGAAUGAUAAGCACAUAGUUUAGAUUGAUCAAGCCAUGGUGUAUGUGUUCAUGACAAUUGUGGGAAUAGGAGUGAUAUAGCCAGUCGUCCUCAAAUCUCUCAUAAAGUUGAUCUAUGGGCUCAGCCAAGGGAGUGUACUGUCUCGGUGGAUUUUUCUGAAGCUUAUGUCAAGGUCUGGUGGAUCAAGUAGAUCGUUGAUUUGUUGGUGGACUUGGAUAAGAAAAUGGAAUGUAGUUUGAUAUUGGAGCGACAAAUAGAAGUGGGUACCAAACAGUCUACGGAAGAGGUUUUGUGAAGGAUUGUGGAUAAUAGGCUUGGACAUAAUUGGAUGUUGGAAUGAUUUCUGGAGUUGGGUACCAUAUCAGUUGAGGUUGGGGUACGUUCACUUUCGGCUUUGGGGGUUUUGAUGUCUUGUCGAUGAUUGUCUUUCCCUUGUUCUUGGAUUGUGGCUUAACUACAUCUGCCUCGACUGUGAGCUUGGUCCCAAGAGACCCACUUGCUAGUGUCACUUUCGGUGUACCACAUCAAUGUUGGACCCUUCAGUGAACCGACAAAGAGUUUUGUCUUCGAGCUAUCACUUUGUCCUGUAACCGAUAGCUUGUCAAGGUACUCAUUCAAAUAGGAAUGAGGGUUCCCUAACCCAUCAUAUAAUGGAAAGUUCCAACCAUCGAUUUUCUCCUUGUCUUCUUCCUUGAUUUGGAUGACUUGCUCAUUUUGGGUCGUUGAGAUGAUCCUACCUCAUGGUUUGGAACCUGUCCUUCCAUCUCUUUGUCCUUACUUAUAUUCGUCAACUCAAUAAGUUCUUUUAGCAAUGCAAUUGAAAACUGCCUUGGAGACAUAGGCAUAUCAUGAUCAGACGUAGGUGAAGUUGUCAAUGUCGGGGACUCCGUAGUGUGGAUGGGAGGGUUGGAGUCUGCUUCAGGUAGCGGCCCUGAAAACCUAAUGGCAUCUCAACGGAGCCUCGAAUAUCAGUCAUUAUUCCCCUAAUUAGCGCUAUUCUUCUUCUUAACCUUCUGAUGGUCGAAAUGACUCUGUUUUGAUGCAACCCCAAGCUUUCAUGCUCAGCUUCGCUAUUGAUAAAAUUGAUAAGCAUCGCUUGACUGGCCAUUUUUUAUGUUCAAGUAUAGUCAACCUUAGAAUAAGACUAACAAUUAAAAAUGAAGAGUACACAGGAAUCUAGAAUAAAUAUUCUACUCAUUUGAAAAUAAUAAGUUAUGCUCAUUCGGAGUGAAUGGAGGUCGUGAGAGCUUUAUGUAACUUAGAGGUUGUGACAGUUAGAGCACGACAUAAAUAUUGUGGUAGGAUAAUAGUAUAUAAACAUUAGGAUCAUUAGGAAGGGGAUAUCCUAAAAUAAUAAGUUGCACUAAGAGAUUGUGGAUAAGACUAAUCCUUUAUCAAAGCAAAAGUUGAGCCUAGGGAUGAUUAGUAUACUAACGGAGUAACGGAUGAGUCAGGAGAAUGAAUUGAGGGGAAGUUUUUAAAACUAGGCCCUAAGAGUGUAUGGUAGGGACCUAGCAUGACAAGAAUUUUAAGAGCAACGAGCUCUAAAGUGAGGAACACUAAAUGUAAGGAGUGACUAAGGCCAGAACGGAAACAACAAAAUAGGCAAGAUAUCAAUACAUACAUAGAAAUGCAACACAUAGCAAAUAAUUGUGAGUCCCUAUGAGGUCGUAAACCUCUUUGGACUUUGAAUGAGACUAACAUUCAACGCAUCAAGGAUGCCAAAGCAUCCUACAUUGAAUGGGACGCAUAUUUCUUAAAAAGAAAUAUAUAGCCAAGACCUAAAGAACAAGAGUGGGUUUAUGAUAUGGUUCCCUCGAGUGGACAACUCGAGAGUGGGAGAGCUUAUGAAUGUCAAUGCACCGCUGAUCGAUCGAUCCACAAGGCAUUUCCCAAAGGGUGUUUUGGGAAAGAACGUCUGUGCUACCACGCAACCAUUCGUAAAAAGAAAAUAAAGGAAGUUUCAAGUGGAGGAAAGUAUAAGCGGGAUGCCAAUUAUAUAAAGCGAUAACAUGUAGCACAUAACACAAGUAGCAUGCUAAGAAAUACACACGUAAGCAAACAUGAUAACACAUAAGCAAUAAAAAAGGAAAAAGGGAUAGACAUGGAGAAAUGUAAAUAACACAUAAAGGGAAAGGAGAAGAGACUCACGUAUAACAAUAAAUCGUGAUAUAAACAACAAGAGAAAGUAAUUACGAAAAAUAAAACAAAUAAAGUGAAGGAAUCCUACAUAAAACACAAACUCGUAAUGGUUAGAGCCUAUGAUCCCCAACAGAGUCGUCAAUCUAUCGCGCCUCAUUUUCCUCGUAGAAAGAGGGAUUCGACGUGAUCACUCUUUUUUGGGAUUAUUUUGAUGGUAGGUGUGAAGAGUCACCCACCUGAAGAAUUAAGGUGUGUUAAGGCACCGAUCUAGGCCAACUACAAACCUGUUUUGUUGUUUAGUCUUAGUUCACCAGAUAUUCGGAUAAGGGUUCAAAUUACCUCAAAAGGAAGAAAGGGUCCAGAAAGAUGGUUCCCGGCCGAAUUCAUAUUUAACGUGGAAAUUCUAUGUCAUCAAAUAAGAUCUCUUAUUUUAUUAUUAAUUUAAUGUUUAACUAAGUCAUAAAAUAAUUAAUAAACAAAACAUGUUAUUUUUUAAUUUCUAAUUAUUAAUUAUCUAAGUGAUAAAAAGCAUAUAAUAAGAUAAGCGAGGAGAAAGAAAUGACAUAAUUUGUAACAAAAGGGGACUACUUAUGUAAUAAACUUAACUACCCAAUUUAAAUAAGCAAGUGAAGUAAAUAAAAGAAUUCGCCAAAUUAAAUAAAGAAAUAUUUUGUUCUCAUUUGGAUCAGAAUCUCAACUUGUUUAAUCAUCAUUCAACCUAUGGCCAAAUUCUUAGACAAGUCAUAUGUCUUACCUUUAAUGUCGGUUGGAGAUCAUCACUUCCGAAUGACUACUCCCCCCCACCCCCACCCAGGCUAGAUGUCAAAUCUAAAGGCGUUCUAGUACAAGAAUAAAACUAACGCUUUUAGUAAUUCCUAUCGUCUCGUCCAUCAUUCAAGAGGCAUUGGACUUUGCUAUUUUAGAUUUGUGGUCUAGACAAAAUAAAACUAUGUUGCUUAGGACUCGAAACGCGUAACACAUUGGAUAUCAUGUAGCAAGUAAUGUCUCACAUUAGCCCCUUGGUUAUUAAAGAGUUGAUUAAUGUGAUUAACAUGCAAAGACAAAUAAUUACUUAUUUUUGUGUCAUUAAGUAAUUGAGAAUGAAAAAAAUUACGUUUUAACAUAUUGGCAAUUAUUCUAAUUUCAUAUUAAUAUGCAGGAAAAUAAUAUAAAAAGGAAAAUAUUUAACAUGCUGAAAUUAAUGAUUAUACGCAGAGAUGCAGUUCAGACAUGCUGAAAUUUAAUUAUUUUAUGCAGAAACGCAAUUUUAACAUGCUGAAAUUUAAUAUUAACAUACUGAAAAAUACAUUAACGCAAUUAUUUUUGAUAUGCUGAAAAAUAUGUUAAUGCGCAAGAAUUUUCUUCUAUUAAUCAUGCUACAAUUUUAACCUGGACAAGCUUAAUUCUAAUGUCAACAUGCUACAAGCAUAUUAAUAUGCAGGAAUUUAAUUGUUGACAUGCUAAAAAAUACUAACAUGCUGAAAGUAAUUUUAAUAUGUUGAAACAUAUAAUGACAUGCUUAAUGUCAAUUUAAUUUGUUGACAUGCUAAAGAUAUAUUAAUAUGUUCAAUGCAAAUUAAUAUGCUACCAUACUAAAAAUAUAUUAAUAUGCUCAAUGUCAAUUAAUAUGGUAUGUCAAUUUUAGUUAGAUCAAGAAUAAUUAAAAAAGUCGUAGAUCAAGUGUCGAAACGAUUCAUAUGUUAAUAAAUUCUAAUUUUGUGUGCCUAAAUAAUCCACGUAGCAUGUAACGCACAUAAACCUAAAUUGUGCCUACCUAUAUUAUUCAUAGAGCACAUAAAUCUCCACCCUAAAGCAAUCCCCAAUAUUUAUUAUUACAUCAAUAGUAACAUAUGUACAAUAAUAUUACAAACCAAAUAACAAGAACAUAAAACUAAAUAGAACUAAUACAAUUUAUUGUAAACACCCCAGCAACUCUUGCGAUCUCCAAAACACCACCAAUACCUGUUAGAUACAAAUCGAAAGAGCACGACAAGCGCAAAACAAACAACUCAUGAUCCUAAACCACACAUCGUUUCAAAUAGAGGAAUCCAAGAAGAUACGUGCAUAUUAAGCAAGUAUUGUUUCAAAUUAGUUCCUAUAGAUAUGUUUUCUAUAGAAGUAAAAAAAUUGCAUUGAAUGGAAACAUACUGGUGAUGAUAAAUAAUAUAAUAAGAACUAAGAAGAAGACCAAAUAGCUCAAAAUCCAGAAAGCAAAUUACCACCGAGAGGUCAGAAUUAAAGCUCCAAAAGUAAGUAUAGAAGCGAUAAAAUAAGACUGUUUCUUUUCUGUUUCUUUUCCAAAAGUUUUGUAGAAGAGAGUAUAUGUAGUCUGUUGUAACUUCUCAAAAUAAGAGAAUAGGGGUUGUUUAUAUAGUGGAGGGAUAAAUCCACCAAGCCAUAAAAAGGAAAAGAGAAUAUGUUAUGUAAUCAAUCAAUCACAAUUAUAUCAUUCAAAUAAUUUAAAAUCAGUCUAAACUAAUAAAAGGAAAAGAGGUAUCAAUCAACAGAAUAUGUGAUGUAAUCAAUCAACCAAAUUGCCUUAAAUAUGAAGAUCACACAUACUAAUAUAAUCACUCAAAACAAAUAGAAGGAAAGAAAAAUAUCAAUUAAUCUAAAUUUUCUUUUUGAACAUGCAGACUAAUUAAGGAUAAUAAUUAAGGCAAAUCAUUAUGUCACUUAAGGCUAAAAUCGUGUAAAAUUCGAUAAAAGAAAUUAAAAAAGAAAAAGCAUAUUUAGGAUAAUCAAUCAGUCAAAUUUCCUUCUAUAAGCAUGAAAAUCAAUCAAAUUCUUGCCCUGAAGUAUUAAAUUCAAAUCAAUAAUAGUGAAGGAAAGAAAACACUGCCAAGAAAUCAGUACCAAAGCUUGUCACACACUAAACAAAAAGGGAAGAAAUUUCCCCAAUGCAGAAACUAACAAGAUCAGCUAAAUACCAAGUAAACCAAUUAGAACGGGAACAAAUAUAUGAGUAAAUCGACUUCGAUCUUUACCAAUAUGAUUAAACGAUUAUGAGCAAAUAAUCAACCGAACUCGUCAUGUCACAAUGCCAGUUAACACCAAUCACAUAAUAAAUUUCUUCAAAUAAAUAUUUUCAAGUAGAGAUCAUAUUCACAGAAUAACAAACCAUGAACACGAUAUUCGACCUAAUACAUACUAGUAUCAUUACAAUAGAUUCAACAAAAUUCAAUCUAGCAAUCAAGAACACAACAAUUAAAUCAUUCAGUGCCUGAUUCAGAAAAUAGCGUCAGCUAAGCAUGAAAUCGAAAUAUUUGAAACAAAGAAAAUCAGAUCGAAGCCACCCCACGUAUUUCACAUCCACAAACAAAAUAAAGUAAAUCCAAGAACAAUCUUACCGGAGACAAAUUCAUCAUGCAAAAAAUGUUGGAAUUGAAUCCUUGACACUCUCGCGGGUUCGGUCAGAGCAAGCGAAGGCGCUAGUGAGGUUGCCGAUGGUGGCUACGAUGGAGAGGACGAACAGAGGGAGAUGGCAGCGGUUCAAGUGGCGACUGGCUUUACUAUUAUGCCGGCAGAGCCGGCUGGUCUGCUGGUGGUUGAUUCGCCGUAGCUGGCGGAGGCUGGUUCCGUUGGAGUUUUGGUGGUGAGCGUUGCGGCGAUUGGUGGCGGCGCUGGUCGCUGGUUUGGCUGAGGAUAAUGGGUCGUCGGUCGGUGGUGGUUUCUAGAACGAUGCUUCACCGGUCAUUACCUCCGGUGAAUCGACAACGACGGGAGGCAACGCCGAUUUCACGGCUGGACUGAUCAUUUUGGUGGAGCGGCGGCAUCGAUGAAGAGAAGAAAGUGGGGCGGCGGUGGCUGGUUUAUCGGAGGCGGGAGAGGGAGUCCGGCGAAUAGAGGGAUGGUUCGUCGUGAUGGACGCCGACGAAGGUGGUGGCGGCGGCGGUUUGAGUGUUUCUUUUUUUUAGAGAGAAAAUGGAGAGAGAUGAGAGGUAGAGAGAGAGGGAGUUAGGCGGCUUAGAAGAUGAAGAGAGAUGAGAGGUAGAGAGAGAAGGAGUUAGGCGGCUU